AACGUAGGAGGCGAGCGUUAUCCGGAUUUACUGGGUGUAAAGCGCAUGCAGGCGGUUCGCUAAGUUGGGUGUGAAAGCUCCUGGCUCAACUGGGAGAGGUCGCUCAAGACUGGCGGGCUAGAGGACGGUAAGGGAAGGUGGAAUUCCGGGUGUAGUGGUGAAAUGCGUAGAUAUCCGGAGGAACACCAGUGGCGAAGGCGGCCUUCUGGACCGCACCUGACGCUCAGAUGCGAAAGCUAGGGGAG
RNAcentral lists this ribosomal RNA (245 nucleotides) under uncultured bacterium. RNAcentral's name for it is "partial 16S ribosomal RNA". It matches the Rfam family "Bacterial small subunit ribosomal RNA", at positions 524 to 768 of the family's 1533-position model. The record is from RNAcentral.